This 423-nucleotide ribosomal RNA is filed under the name uncultured prokaryote. Its description in RNAcentral is "bacterial SSU rRNA". It matches the Rfam family "Bacterial small subunit ribosomal RNA", at positions 355 to 774 of the family's 1533-position model. The record is from RNAcentral.
UGAGGAAUAUUGGUCAAUGGGCGCAAGCCUGAACCAGCCAUGCCGCGUGAAGGAUGACUGCCCUAUGGGUUGUAAACUUCUUUUGUAGUAGGCGAAACGCAUGUCUAGAACAUGAACUGACGGUAUACUACGAAUAAGCAUCGGCUAACUCCGUGCCAGCAGCCGCGGUAAUACGGAGGAUGCGAGCGUUAUCCGGAUUUAUUGGGUUUAAAGGGUUCGUAGGCGGCUUUAUAAGUCAGCGGUGAAAUACCAGAGCUUAACUCUGGGGCUGCCGUUGAUACUGUUAAGCUUGAGUAGGAUCGACGAUGGCGGAAUGAGACAAGUAGCGGUGAAAUGCAUAGAUAUGUCUCAGAACACCGAUAGCGUAGGCAGCUGUCGAGGUCAUCUACUGACGCUGAGGAACGAAAGCGUGGGGAUCAAACA